UUUCUUUAAAAAAAACAUAAAUAUGUGUGAGUGAGAUGAAAUCAAAAUACUCCAACAAUCCUGCUUGCUUGAGUUGAAGCUACACUAAAUGAUCACUUUUCUUCAAUCCAACGAUUAUCAAACCUUCGAUCUCACCACAAAUGGCGGAUCAAACUGAGAUCUCCUUCGCCGGAUUAUUCUUUUGCAGCGCUUUUGCCGCCUGUUUCGCUGAGUUAUGUACAAUCCCUCUAGACACUGCUAAAGUUCGACUUCAACUCCAAAAGAGAGCAGCAUUGAGCGGAGAAGGUGGCUCACCAAAGUACAAGGGUCUUUUAGGUACGAUUGUUACUAUAGCCAAAGAAGAAGGUCUGCUUGCACUUUGGAAAGGUAUUAUACCUGGAUUACAUCGCCAGUUUAUAUACGGAGGCUUAAGGAUCAGUUUAUACGGCCCUGUCAAAGCCUUUUGUUCUGGUGGUAAUGUUCUUGCCGAUGAUGUUUCCUUGUUCCAGAAAAUACUUGCUGCUUUGAUUACGGGUGCUAUAGCGAUCACAUUGGCUAAUCCGACCGAUCUAGUGAAAGUUCGGCUUCAAGCUGAAGGUAAGCUGCCACCUGGAGCACCACGGCGCUACUCGGGUGCUUUAAAUGCCUACUACACCAUAAUCAAGGAAGAAGGGCUAGUGGCACUUUGGACAGGUCUAGGCCCAAAUAUUGCUAGAAAUGCUAUUAUCAAUGCUGCAGAACUCGUGAGCUAUGAUCAAGUGAAACAGACCAUUUUGAGAAUUCCAGGGUUCACAGACAAUAUUAUUACUCAUCUACUCGCCGGUUUAGGUGCAGGAUUCUUUGCGGUGUUGAUUGGUUCACCUAUUGAUGUGGUGAAGUCUAGAAUGAUGGGAGAUUCAAUAUACAAAAGCACCCUUGAUUGUAUGGUUAUAACCUUAAGAGUUGAGGUCUGUUAUACCAUUAAAUAAAUAAUAUUCUGUAGUGACUUGUUUUAGCCCCGCUUGCGGUAUGCACUAAUUUUAACGUUAUUCGUGAAAAAUAACGUUAAAAGAGGGGGAUGGUUAAUCAUGCAUCAUGUGGUGGCGUUGAUAGCCGAAAGACAAAAGGGUACAUGCACUAAUCGCCCUUUGUCCCGAUUGUUGAGUGUUAUGUGCCUUGUGAUGCAAAACUACUAUCGAGCCGGGGGUCAGCCUCUCUAUUCCUACGGGGUAGAGGGAGCCCUUGCGUUUUACAAAGGAUUCCUUCCAAAUUUUGGUCGUCUAGGAUCCUGGAAUGUUAUAAUGUUCUUGACACUUGAGCAAAUAAGAAGAUUAUUCUCUUGACUUGACAAGUUUGGACUCUCGGAUUCUCUAAUUCCCGAUUAUUCUGUUAUUCAUUCUUUGGUGACGACGGUUCAGGUAAUGUUAUAGUUCCAGUUGCCGCCCGUCAAAGACAUAAUAUAAUUAAUAGUCACAUGACUUGAAGCCAUAGGUUUUCUUGGAGUGGAUUAUCGUAUCAUACGUUAUAUUAUUAAAGUUUACAUAUGACGAGUUUUAUAAACUACGGAGCUCGGCUGCAUUGAACAAGUGAGCAUUAUAUACGGGUAUGGACAAUUAAUAAGUUAUUACGCUUGGCUCCAUUGAGCAAGUGUUACGGUUUUU
Helianthus annuus (common sunflower) is the source of this 1619-nucleotide RNA transcript. It is a transcript of the gene named mitochondrial uncoupling protein 2, with no coding region annotated. The record is from RefSeq and is a predicted model, not a curated record. NCBI's taxonomy places the organism in Eukaryota, Viridiplantae, Streptophyta, Magnoliopsida, Asterales, Asteraceae. The transcript is spliced from 9 exons.